GGGAGAAAUUAUGGUUUAGGACCAAGUGUGUUACUAUUCAUAAGGCAAUGCAGUCGACCAGACAUUUUCCUACCCAAAGCAAUGAGGGAUUUACUUACCUUUGAAAUCUCCAUUACAUCGAAAGACAUACCCAACCCUUUCAAAACUAGAGGCUACACGGAAAUACAAGCGUGAGACGGAACAAAAAGCACAGUGUGCCAAAGCAUGUUCGUCUUCAGUUUCUAGCAUCUCCUACAACUACUGUGUUUCACUGAAAGGGCUGACAAGCAAUGAAAAUAUCAGAAGGCACGACAGCGGGAAAGAGAACAGAGGUUUGAGCAACACCAAGAGAACGAUUCAUCAAUUCCCCCCACCACCACCGUCCUCGAAACCAUACGGACGACAAAAGAAAGGUCUACCCAGUGGACAAAAUGUCUAUACCUCCAGACCAGGAGACCAACUGCACAGUGGCCUUGAUUUCACCCAAAGUUCCACAAAAUUCUGACACUGCACAAACCUUGACGAUGUGCGCGCAGCCUUAAGCAAAUCUCGUAAAAUUACACCUUAUUUUCCUGCCUACAAUAUGGUGAUGAUACUGCCUAACCCUGGAGGUCAGAAAAAUCAUUGUCAAGUACCUAGGCAUGAUAACACUGUUCUAAGAGCAUCACACAACAACCCAGUGUGGCAGGUACUAUUAUUAUCCUCAUCUUCCAACUACAGACACUGAGGCCUCUGUGUCCACUACCCCCUGGAAAUUGGUGGCACCAAGCAAUGACUAUCACCAAAUAUGGACCCACAGGUAAUUCCUGAAUUUCUCUUUUUAUCGACCAUUAAUUCCACAACUAGUUGAGUGAUGCCCUAUGGUGAAUCAGGCCCUGGAGAUACAGGAAAAAAGCGACCGGUAACCAUUACAGUAAGUGCUCUAUGAGCCCAUGUAUCACCAGUCCAGCAGUGAUCACAGUGAAGAAGACUCUAUAAUAAACAUUAAAACAACGGCGUUUUAUCUUAAGAAAUAAAGACAUUUACACAGCACUUAACUUUAAAAUACAUACAGGAACCGAAAGAAUUUCUUUGUUUGUUUUGGAACAUGUGGUACCCCAGAAAUUGUUUACAUGUGGCUACUGGCUGUGAGCAAAAUUAUUUUCAUUCCGGAGGUGCCCCAGUGUCUUAUAACUGCUACCUGUGAGAAGCAUUGUUCUCUUUCCCCGCAACAGUCACUGUGUGCCUUCUGUGCGCUACUCCCCAGCAAAAACAGGGGUCGACAGAGAAGAUGGCACCUAAAGAUGUGAAGGGGGAUGGGGAUGGGGCAGCUACCGGACACUUUGCUCUGAAGAGAUCCUGUCUUCCCGGCUUCUCCUGCUGGGAAUCAGUCUCACUGCCACCAGCAGGGAAAUGAACCACCAAAGGGAAUAAAGGGAUUCGUCACCUCUAAAUAAAUACCAGUGAUCUAAACAUUUUUGUGAGGAUUAAAUAAUAUGGUUGACAUUAAGGAUUUUACAAAAUUAUGGUUAUAUAAUAUAUACAAUUUAUGGCUAUUAUUAUUAUUACUAUUAUUUUUAAUUUCUUAAACAGUGAUUUUUCAUGAGGGUCACCAAAUUAUAGUUAAAACCAAAGGCCACCUUAAUUGAGUAAUCCCUUAUGAUCUUGCCCCCCUGAAACAAUAACGUAACUAACUAGCUCCUCUAACUCCAACUCAAAGGCUAGGUAAUUUCUGAAAAUCAAGUAUCACUCAAUAUCACUUAUUACUAUAAAUCUGACUACUUUAAAGAGGAAUUCUACCUAUUGUUAAUAUCAAGAACAAGCUCUAAUUAAAUCGAAGUGUAUUAAGAUACACUUAGAAACAGAACUAUUCUUUUUAAUAUAGUUACCAUUAUAUAUUGUUUCUUUAAAACUUCUGUUCUUUCAAGUAGGUUAAACUUCCCAUGAUAAUUUCAUCCAAUUAUCAAAUCUGUCCUUCAAGAACACCAUAAAAAGCACUAAAUUGAAUCCCAACUCAUUAAGUUGUGAUAAAUAUUAAUCCCUGGCAUAAAAAUAGAUGAAAGAAGAUUUAUUAGGAUCUAGAACUUAUACCUCCUAUACCUUGAAUGGAUUUUUUUUUUUUUUUUUUUUUUACUUUAGCAGAAAGGAAAGUUUCAUAAAGGCAAAAAUUUUAAGAGUGAGAACAAAAAGAAAUGUCACAUAUUUGAUAUUCAGAGUUUGUGGCCGUUAUCUAUCUGUGCCUGGAGAUCACUAUUACAUGUGUGCGUCUGGUCUCAGAUAGAUACAAACUACUAAAAACUUUAACUUCCCAGAUUAUUAGUAUGGCUGAAGUAGUCCUAUACUCUUACCUAUCUG
Molecule: long non-coding RNA, 2313 nt
Organism: Mustela lutreola (European mink)
Lineage: Eukaryota; Metazoa; Chordata; Mammalia; Carnivora; Mustelidae
Exons: 4
Source: RefSeq, a predicted model, not a curated record